Molecule: long non-coding RNA, 3146 nt
Filed under: Homo sapiens (human)
Lineage: Eukaryota; Metazoa; Chordata; Mammalia; Primates; Hominidae
Description: HSALNT0369101
Source: RNAcentral
AAGAGAGCAGUGGGUACUUGGAGCAAAUACGAUUGGAGACAAGGCUGGUGAGGCAGGCGGGAGAAAGCAGGGCUCAGUGUGCCCUGUACUGGAAUCUGCUCUUGCUCUGGGUUGAAGAUAGCAAGUGCAUCUCUGGGCAACUACUGCAGCUGGCUGUGGGGGACUGAUGCAUACUGUUGAGGCUGAUCUUACUCUGUCUCCUCUCUAUGAACAAGGCCUUGAAACCGCCACUCCGUCAGGUCCUUGUCUUUCCAGUUUUCCUUCUUUGUGCCAUUGGGAUUAUAGAGAAUCAGCUCAUAAAAGUCAAAGUCCCCAGAGGCUGGACUCCAGUUGAACCAAAGGCUGUCUGUCGUGUUCCGAUUGGACCCCCUGAGAUGACUCACAGAGGCUGGGACUUAAACAGAAGAAAAAUUGUUACUGAGAACAAAACAGAAACACAGGCAUUUUGGCCCACAGGGUCUCACUCCGGUUGCCCAGGCUGGAGUGCAGUGGCACGAUCACGACUCACUGCAGCCUUGACCUCCCGGGCUCAGGUGAUUCUUCCACCUCAGCCUUCCAAGCAGCUGGGACUACAGGUGUGCACCACCACGCCUGGCUAAUUUUUUGUAUUUUUAGUAGAAAUGGGGUUUAGCUAUGUUGCCCAGGCUAGUCUCGAACUCCUGAACUCAAGCAAUCUACCUGCCUUGGCCUUCCAGGGUGCUGGGAUUACAGGCGUGAGCUACUGUGCCCAGCCUGCUUGUUAAAAUUUAAAAUUUUAUUAUCCUUUAGCAAGUAUAAAAAUGUGUUCAAAUGAUUUGGUUUCUGAUUCCCUUUCAUUUGUUUUGCAGAUCUCUAUUAAGAGAAAAAUACAAAGAAUAAAUGAGUAAGGCUCUUGAAACCAUUGAAUUGUACAAACUUUGGUGGUUUUAAAUCUGGAUUUGUGAAUAGCUGAGCCCGUUCACUGUCCCAUUUUGGAGAACCAUGAGGCAUUCUACAAUCUAGCCCUUCUCCAGGUGGAUGCUUACCUGUCCGCCCAACCACAUUUAUCUGAUUCUUCAGGGACCCGCUGACUGAGGCAAUCAUGAUCUGGUACUGCUCCCCGGCCUCCAGUCUGUGGAACGUGUGCUCAAAGACGUGCUUGGGAAUAGUCUGAGAGUCAACCUUUUGACUGUGCCUGAAUGCCGACACCGUGUAGGAAUCAACGUCUCCCCCACCAGGAGUCCAGUUCACCGUCAGGCUAUCUGUUGCUCCAUUGGGAGAAAUGUGAAUAUUUUUGACAGCACUAGGAACUAAAACAGAAAAUAAAUUUAAAAGUCAUCACUUAGAGAAUGAACUGUUGAAAUUUUCAAACAAAGUUUUGAAUGCUUCUGAUGUUUUGGCACCCACUGAGAGAACUCACAUGAAAAAGAAAGUAACAAUUUGCCACUUUUCUCUGAUUUUUCUGUGUGAACUAAAGUUGAUGGGGGAAAGCUUAGGGGGAAGUCAAAGCCGGUGAGUGGAAAUGAGGAAUGCUAAUUAUAUAGCGAGGGGCUAGUUAGGGUGUCUUGGUCCAAGUUUUGGUUUUCUCACUCACUAGCUGUGGGACUACAGGCAAAUUACUUGACCUCUGUAAGUUUUAGUUUCUUCAUUAGGAAAAAUGGCAGUGAUGAUAAUACUAACCAGCCCAUAGAGUUGUGAAGAUUGAUUCUUUUUUAAUUUAAUUUUAUUUUAUUUUUGAGGUAGGGUCUCUGUCUGUUGUCCAGGCUGGAGUGCAAUGGCAUGAUUAUGGCUCACUGCAUCCUAUACCUCCUGGGCUCAAGUGAUUCUCCCACCUCAGCCUCCCCAGUAGCUGGGACUACAGGCACGUAACACCGUGCCCGGCUAAUUUUUUUGUAUUUUUUGUAGAGACAGGGUUUUGUCAUGUUGCCCAGGCUGUGCUUGAACUCCUGGGCUCAAGCUAUCCUCCUGCCUUGGCUUCCAAAGCAUUGUGAAGACUGAACAAGAUGUAGACAUAAAAUGCUUUGCUGUGGGUCUGGUUCAUGGUGAACUGUCAGUACAUGUUAACUACUAUGGCAACACUCCUAAAAGAGUUCUAAAGAAGUGAUACCCAAGUAACACUUAAUUCUUAAUCUGUGUGCCUCAGAAGCACCAGCUGAUCACAUCAGUUCAUUGCUAUUUCUCUGAAAGCACCCUCCAACCCCGCCACUCUCUGCUGACAUCAUACUUUAUUUUCAUUCAUCCAGGUUGGACAACAUCAUUGUCACUAUCAACAUGACUUUGUCCCUUCUUGCUGUCUCCCUUUUAUCCCUCCAAAUGCUCAAUCGAAAUACCUGAACUACCCGAAAGUUAAAUGCACCACUGCAUCUAUUCAGGUUCAAGAACAGUAUUUCACAUUACCUGUGAAGCCCUCAAUGAAGGCUGACUGCUGUACAUCCCCGCUAAUCGUCAAGACAAGAAUUUUGUAUUGGCGGCCUGGUGUUAGGGAAGUAAAUCGAUACUCGGUUGCGGUAUUUACAAGGUGAAAAGGAGGAAAUACUUUCAUGUCAUUGAAGAGCAGCUGGAUCUCAUAUUGGUCGACAUCCCCAUUAGCUCCUGACCAAGUCACAUGCAAGUCCUCAGUGCUCCUGUUGCGCAAUGUUAGAUCCUUAACAGGCUCUGGAACUAGGGAGAAAAAUGAGAAGACAUUUCAGGAAAGGAACUGAUCAGAGUUUACCUACAUAAUAAUUUAUGAAUCACAUUCAAGGAACUGGCAACAUCUCCCUUCCCCAAAUAAACCACUAGCACUACUUCAUGCAUAAUUAAACAAGAAAAAUUGGAAGCAACUAUUAACAUUGUGGUUUUUUCCUGACAUAAAUGUUACAUGAUCAGCAUUGGUAGAACAUAAUUAUAAAAUGAGUUAUGAUCUCAAUCAUAAGAUAAAACAAGAAGUCUAGAAUCUAAAUGCCAUGAUGCAGGAAGAUAGGGAAGAAAAAUGGGACAUUUAGCCUUCUUGCUCCCUCACUAUGUUUGCUUUUAUCUACCAAUAAAUAUUCUGUAAUUAUAGGCCAUGGCUUGGCUGAAUGAUGUUAGCACCAAGUGAGACUUACUGGGAAUGUAAUGUACUAAUGAAUAAGCAGAAAAAAUUCAAGGUUCAGAUAAAUUACUAGAGACUUUCAAGUCCAACCAACUGUCAGAUUUUGCAAUCGUUC